GGAGGGUGCAAGCGUUAAUCGGAAUUACUGGGCGUAAAGCGCGCGUAGGUGGCUUGAUUAGCCGGUUGUGAAAGCCCCGGGCUCAACCUGGGAACGGCAUCCGGAACUGUCAGGCUAGAGUGCAGGAGAGGAAGGUAGAAUUCCCGGUGUAGCGGUGAAAUGCGUAGAGAUCGGGAGGAAUACCAGUGGCGAAGGCGGCCUUCUGGACUGACACUGACACUGAGGUGCGAAAGCGUGGGUAGCAAACAGGAUUAGAUACCCUGGUAGUCCACGCCGUAAACGAUGUCGACCAGCCGUUGGGUGCCUAGCGCACUUUGUGGCGAAGUUAACGCGAUAAGUCGACCGCCUGGGGAGUACGGCCGCAAGGUUA
This 370-nucleotide ribosomal RNA is filed under the name uncultured Gammaproteobacteria bacterium. RNAcentral describes it as "bacterial SSU rRNA". It matches the Rfam family "Bacterial small subunit ribosomal RNA", at positions 527 to 896 of the family's 1533-position model. Lineage: Bacteria; Pseudomonadati; Pseudomonadota; Gammaproteobacteria. The record is from RNAcentral.